UACAGAGGGGGCAAGCGUUGUUCGGAAUUACUGGGCGUAAAGGGCGCGUAGGCGGCCGGUUAAGUCGAACGUGAAAUCCCCGGGCUCAACCCGGGAACUGCGUCCGAUACUGGCAGGCUUGAAUCCGGGAGAGGGAUGCGGAAUUCCAGGUGUAGCGGUGAAAUGCGUAGAUAUCUGGAGGAACACCGGUGGCGAAGGCGGCAUCCUGGACCGGCAUUGACGCUGAGGCGCGAAAGCCAGGGGAGCAAACGGG
This 253-nucleotide ribosomal RNA is filed under the name uncultured bacterium. Its description in RNAcentral is "partial 16S ribosomal RNA". It matches the Rfam family "Bacterial small subunit ribosomal RNA", at positions 524 to 776 of the family's 1533-position model. The record is from RNAcentral.